GACGAACGCUGGCGGCGUGCUUAACACAUGCAAGUCGAACGAAGAGCGAUGGAAGCUUGCUUCUAUCAAUCUUAGUGGCGAACGGGCGAGUAACGCGUAAUCAACCUGCCCUUCAGAGGGGGACAACAGUUGGAAACGACUGCUAAUACCGCAUACGAUCUAAUCUCGGCAUCGAGGAUAGAUGAAAGGUGGCCUCUACAUGUAAGCUAUCACUGAAGGAGGGGAUUGCGUCUGAUUAGCUAGUUGGAGGGGUAACGGCCCACCAAGGCGAUGAUCAGUAGCCGGUCUGAGAGGAUGAACGGCCACAUUGGGACUGAGACACGGCCCAGACUCCUACGGGAGGCAGCAGUGGGGAAUCUUCCGCAAUGGACGAAAGUCUGACGGAGCAACGCCGCGUGAGUGAUGACGGCCUUCGGGUUGUAAAGCUCUGUUAAUCGGGACGAAAGGCCUUCUUGCGAACAGUUAGAAGGAUUGACGGUACCGGAAUAGAAAGCCACGGCUAACUACGUG
RNAcentral lists this ribosomal RNA (510 nucleotides) under uncultured bacterium. RNAcentral's name for it is "partial 16S ribosomal RNA". It matches the Rfam family "Bacterial small subunit ribosomal RNA", at positions 28 to 507 of the family's 1533-position model. The record is from RNAcentral.